RNAcentral lists this ribosomal RNA (426 nucleotides) under uncultured Azovibrio sp. Its description in RNAcentral is "bacterial SSU rRNA". It matches the Rfam family "Bacterial small subunit ribosomal RNA", at positions 356 to 774 of the family's 1533-position model. Lineage: Bacteria; Pseudomonadati; Pseudomonadota; Betaproteobacteria; Rhodocyclales; Rhodocyclaceae. The record is from RNAcentral.
GGGGAAUUUUGGACAAUGGGGGCAACCCUGAUCCAGCCAUGCCGCGUGAGUGAAGAAGGCCUUCGGGUUGUAAAGCUCUUUCGGCCGGGAAGAAAUCGUGCAGGCUAAUACCCUGUAUGGAUGACGGUACCGGAAUAAGAAGCACCGGCUAACUACGUGCCAGCAGCCGCGGUAAUACGUAGGGUGCGAGCGUUAAUCGGAAUUACUGGGCGUAAAGCGUGCGCAGGCGGUUUUGUAAGACAGGCGUGAAAUCCCCGGGCUCAACCUGGGAACUGCGCUUGUGACUGCAAGACUAGAGUACGGCAGAGGGGGGUGGAAUUCCACGUGUAGCAGUGAAAUGCGUAGAGAUCGGGAGGAACAUCAGUGGCGAAGGCGACUGCCUGGGCCAACACUGACACUGAGGCACGAAAGCAUGGGGAGCAAACA